AGAGUUUGAUCCUGGCUCAGGAUGAACGCUGGCGGCGUGCCUAACACAUGCAAGUCGAGGGGCAGCGGGGAGGAAGCUUGCUUUCUCCGCCGGCGACCGGCGCACGGGUGAGUAACACGUAUGCAACCUGCCCCUGUCAGGGGGACAACCCGCCGAAAGGCGGGCUAAACCCGCGUACAUGCCACCGGGGCAUCCCGGAGGCAGGAAAGGCUUCGGCCGGACAGGGAUGGGCAUGCGGCGCAUUAGGCAGUAGGCGGGGUAACGGCCCACCUAACCGACGAUGCGUAGGGGUUCUGAGAGGAAGGUCCCCCACACUGGUACUGAGACACGGACCAGACUCCUACGGGAGGCAGCAGUGAGGAAUAUUGGUCAAUGGUCGGGAGACUGAACCAGCCAAGCCGCGUGAGGGAGGAAGGUACAGAGUAUCGUAAACCUCUUUUGUCAGGGAACAAAGGCGGGGACGUGUCCCCGGAUGAGUGUACCUGAAGAAAAAGCAUCGGCUAACUCCGUGCCAGCAGCCGCGGUAAUACGGAGGAUGCGAGCGUUAUCCGGAUUUAUUGGGUUUAAAGGGUGCGCAGGCGGUCUGUUAAGUCAGCGGUCAAAGCCCGGGGCUCAACCCCGGCCCGCCGUUGAAACUGGCAGUCUCGAGUUGGAGAGAAGUAUGCGGAAUGCGCGGUGUAGCGGUGAAAUGCAUAGAUAUCGCGCAGAACUCCGAUUGCGAAGGCAGCAUGCCGGCUCCACACUGACGCUGAGGCACGAAAGCGUGGGUAUCGAACAGGAUUAGAUACCCUGGUAGUCCACGCAGUAAACGAUGAAUGCUGGCUGUCCGGGGGGACUGACCCCUGGGUGGCGAAGCGAAAGCGAUAAGCAUUCCACCUGGGGAGUACGCCGGCAACGGUGAAACUCAAAGGAAUUGACGGGGGCCCGCACAAGCGGAGGAACAUGUGGUUUAAUUCGAUGAUACGCGAGGAACCUUACCCGGGCUCAAACGGGGAGUGGCGCAGGCAGAGACGCCUGUUUCCCACGGGACACUCCCCGAGGUGCUGCAUGGUUGUCGUCAGCUCGUGCCGUGAGGUGUCGGCUUAAGUGCCAUAACGAGCGCAACCCCCGCGUGCAGUUGCUAACAGUCAACGCUGAGGACUCUGCACGGACUGCCGGCGCAAGCCGCGAGGAAGGCGGGAAUGACGUCAAAUCAGCACGGCCCUUACGUCCGGGGCGACACACGUGUUACAAUGGGUGGUACAGCGGGAAGCCAGGCGGCGACGCCGAGCGGAACCCGAAAUCCACUCUCAGUUCGGAUCGGAGUCUGCAACCCGACUCCGUGAAGCUGGAUUCGCUAGUAAUCGCGCAUCAGCCAUGGCGCGGUGAAUACGUUCCCGGGCCUUGCACACACCGCCCGUCAAG
This 1404-nucleotide ribosomal RNA is filed under the name uncultured bacterium. RNAcentral's name for it is "bacterial SSU rRNA". It matches the Rfam family "Bacterial small subunit ribosomal RNA". The record is from RNAcentral.